CCUACGGGUGGCAGCAGUGAGGAAUAUUGGGCAAUGGACGAGAGUCUGAACCAGCCAAGUAGCGUGAAGGAUGACUGCCCUAUGGGUUGUAAACUUCUUUUAUAUGGGAAUAAAAUGUUCCACGUGUGGGAUUUUGUAUGUACCAUAUGAAUAAGGAUCGGCUAACUCCGUGCCAGCAGCCGCGGUAAUACGGAGGAUCCGAGCGUUAUCCGGAUUUAUUGGGUGUAAAGGGAGCGUAGGUGGAUUGUUAAGUCAGUUGUGAAAGUUUGUGGCUCAACCGUAAAAUUGCAGUUGAAACUGGCAGUCUUGAGUACAGUAGAGGUGAGCGGAAUUCGUGGUGUAGCGGUGAAAUGCUUAGAUAUCACGAAGAACUCCGAUUGCGAAGGCAGUUCACUGGACUGCAACUGACACUGAGGCUCGAAAGUGUGGGUAUCAAACAGGAUUAGAUACCCCAGUAGUC
RNAcentral lists this ribosomal RNA (460 nucleotides) under uncultured bacterium. RNAcentral describes it as "partial 16S ribosomal RNA". It matches the Rfam family "Bacterial small subunit ribosomal RNA", at positions 338 to 795 of the family's 1533-position model. The record is from RNAcentral.